UACAGGGGGUGCAAACGUUGCUCGGAAUUAUUGGGCGUAAAGCGCGCGUAGGCGGCUACUUAAGUCGGAUGUGAAAGCCCUUGGCUCAACUGAGGAAGUGCACCCGAAACUGAGUGGCUUGAGUACGAAAGAGGGUCGCGGAAUUCCCGGUGUAGAGGUGAAAUUCGUAGAUAUCGGGAGGAACACCGGUGGCGAAGGCGGCGACCUGGGUCGAUACUGACGCUGAUGUGCGAAAGCGUGGGGAGCAAACAGG
This 253-nucleotide ribosomal RNA is filed under the name uncultured bacterium. RNAcentral describes it as "partial 16S ribosomal RNA". It matches the Rfam family "Bacterial small subunit ribosomal RNA", at positions 524 to 776 of the family's 1533-position model. The record is from RNAcentral.